This is a long non-coding RNA of Esox lucius (northern pike), 1273 nucleotides long. The record is from Ensembl. Lineage: Eukaryota; Metazoa; Chordata; Actinopteri; Esociformes; Esocidae.
GCUUUAACCCCCUGUGUUUCUCUCACUGACCGGCAUCAAACCAAACUUUCCUAGGCAAAACCUUCCUGGACCGCAGUUCAUGCAGACCAGACGGCUUUUCGAAAUGCCAAAACAAUCUCCUCCGUCUCGCUAGCCGCUGUUCCGUGCCACGGGGAUGUGGCCUGGAAGUGGAGCCAGCUGAGGCGUAGGCAGUGACGCUCCGUCCUCCGUCAGGCCAGGGUGUGGACGUGCACGCUGGGAACACUGGACGCAUUGUGGGAGGAGAGUCGGCUGCUUCGGCUACAGGGGAGCUCAGACGGCACUUUUGUCCACCAUACAAGAACAGUGGCUGACUACCAAGGCCACUUGUACAGGAGUGUGAUGUUCGGGUUGUUGGUGUUUCGUAGGCUUACUUAUUACAGUGGUGGAUUUGUCUGUUCAACUCUCUGUGUCUGUGGAUAAACUGUUGCUGUAAAUCAGCGGCAAGUCCAUGUGUAUUAUUCACUGUUCAUUUCUCAUUAUCUGAUAAUACAAUGAAGCACUUGGGCUAGGGUACCUGUGCAUAUCGGUAAGGGCACACGACUGUUUUUUAAAUGCCGGCAUUAAACCUUCUCUGAACUGGCAUUUCCUUGGUCUGAAAAGGUUGUUCCGUUUCCUCGUGCUAACCAUCCAUUUGGAUAUGGUUGUGAACUUUGUGUUGCCUUUGUGUUUUCUGUCUCUAAAUGUUGUCUGCCACUAGUAACCCCUUUGAAAUAAGUAAUAUUCUGAUGAUUGUGGUUCUUGGAAUUGGAUCAGCUCCAUUCAGCGGUAAUCUCAAAGGCAUUUAGGAAAUAUACAGUGAACUCUAAAUGUUUGAAGAGAGACAUGUUUUUCUGUAAUCCAGCACUUUGUAUUUCUAAUGAUAGAGUGACUACAUGGUCAGAUCCGACAGUUUUUUUUUAUCAAUGUCAUCUAAACCAUUUAGAAAUGACAGCCUGUUUUGUUCUUAGUCCUCCCAUCGUAAGGUAGCAAAAGGAUGUUAGCAUUAUGAACAAUAAAGAAGUCAUGUUCUUUUCAUGUAAUUUGCACCCCAUAGACAUGACCAGAUGAUGGGUAUCUUCUCUGAUUAUGCUCUGCCAGGCCUGUACUGCAGCCAUCUCCAGUUCCUGCUUGUUUAAUUUUGAUAGGAUGAUUGACUUGGCCCGUCAAUAACCUUUUAACCCUGAACAAAUCUUGGUAUCUAUGGCAUUGUGUUCCAGAUAAUUUCUUUGCUGCUUGAUUUAGGCGCUGUCCAAUAAAUUUAGCUUGACUGACA